Molecule: ribosomal RNA, 474 nt
Filed under: uncultured archaeon
Lineage: Archaea
Description: bacterial SSU rRNA
Rfam family: Archaeal small subunit ribosomal RNA
Source: RNAcentral
GAAAACUUUACAAUGUGCGAAAGCACGAUAAGGGAACUCUGAGUGCCUCCUAAGGAGGCUGUUCAGGUGUCUAAAAAGCACCUGAAGGAAGGGCUGGGUAAGACCGGUGCCAGCCGCCGCGGUAACACCGGCAGCCCAAGUGGUAGCCAUGCUUAUUGGGUCUAAAGCGUCCGUAGCCGGCCAGGUAAGUUCUUUGGGAAAUUUAACCGCUUAACGGUCAAGCUUUCAGGGAAUACUGCCCGGCUUGGGACCGGGAGAGGUCAGAGGUACUCCCCGGGUAGGGGUGAAAUCCAUUAAUCCUUGGGGGACCACCGGUAGCGAAGGCGUCUGACCAGACCGGGUCCCMCGGUGAGGGACGAAGGCUAGGGUCGCGAACCGGAUUAGAUACCCGGGUAGUCCUAGCUGUAAACGAUGCGGGCCAGGUGUUGGUAUUACUGCGAGUGAUGCCAGUGCCGAAGGGAAGCCGUUAAGCCC